This 433-nucleotide ribosomal RNA is filed under the name uncultured bacterium. RNAcentral's name for it is "partial 16S ribosomal RNA". It matches the Rfam family "Bacterial small subunit ribosomal RNA", at positions 29 to 507 of the family's 1533-position model. The record is from RNAcentral.
AACGAACGCUGGCGGCAUGCCUAACACAUGCGAGUCGAACGAGACCUUCGGGUCUAGUGGCGCACGGGUGCGUAACGCGUGGGAACCUGCCCUUAGGUUCGGAAUAACUCCCCGAAAGGGGUGCUAAUACCGGAUAAUGUCUUCGGACCAAAGAUUUAUCGCCUUUGGAUGGGCCCGCGUUGGAUUAGCUAGUUGGUAGGGUAAAAGCCUACCAAGGCGACGAUCCAUAGCUGGUCUGAGAGGAUGAUCAGCCACACUGGGACUGAGACACGGCCCAGACUCCUACGGGAGGCAGCAGUGGGGAAUAUUGGACAAUGGGCGAAAGCCUGAUCCAGCAAUGCCGCGUGAGUGAUGAAGGCCUUAGGGUUGUAAAGCUCUUUUACCCGGGAUGAUAAUGACAGUACCGUGAGAAUAAGCUCCGGCUAACUCCGUG